RNAcentral lists this ribosomal RNA (502 nucleotides) under Salmonella enterica. Its description in RNAcentral is "bacterial SSU rRNA". It matches the Rfam family "Bacterial small subunit ribosomal RNA", at positions 1 to 492 of the family's 1533-position model. The record is from RNAcentral. Lineage: Bacteria; Pseudomonadati; Pseudomonadota; Gammaproteobacteria; Enterobacterales; Enterobacteriaceae.
AAAUUGAAGAGUUUGAUCAUGGCUCAGAUUGAACGCUGGCGGCAGGCCUAACACAUGCAAGUCGAACGGUAACAGGAAGCAGCUUGCUGCUUUGCUGACGAGUGGCGGACGGGUGAGUAAUGUCUGGGAAACUGCCUGAUGGAGGGGGAUAACUACUGGAAACGGUGGCUAAUACCGCAUAACGUCGCAAGACCAAAGAGGGGGACCUUCGGGCCUCUUGCCAUCAGAUGUGCCCAGAUGGGAUUAGCUAGUUGGUGAGGUAACGGCUCACCAAGGCGACGAUCCCUAGCUGGUCUGAGAGGAUGACCAGCCACACUGGAACUGAGACACGGUCCAGACUCCUACGGGAGGCAGCAGUGGGGAAUAUUGCACAAUGGGCGCAAGCCUGAUGCAGCCAUGCCGCGUGUAUGAAGAAGGCCUUAGGGUUGUAAAGUACUUUCAGCGGGGAGGAAGGUGUUGCGGUUAAUAACCGCAGCAAUUGACGUUACCCGCAGAAGAAGCA